This 315-nucleotide ribosomal RNA is filed under the name Staphylococcus chromogenes. RNAcentral's name for it is "bacterial LSU rRNA". It matches the Rfam family "Bacterial large subunit ribosomal RNA", at positions 51 to 359 of the family's 2925-position model. The record is from RNAcentral. Lineage: Bacteria; Bacillati; Bacillota; Bacilli; Caryophanales; Staphylococcaceae.
GAAGGACGUUACUAACGACGAUAUGCUUUGGGGAGCUGUAAGUAAGCUGUGAUCCAGAGAUUUCCGAAUGGGGGAACCCAGCACGAGUUAUGUCGUGUUAUCCGCAUGUGAAUACAUAGCAUGUGAGAAGGUAGACCCGGAGAACUGAAGCAUCGUAGUACCCGGAGGAAGAGAAAGAAAAAUCGAUGCCCGGAGUAGCGGCGAGCGAAACGGGAAGAGCCCAAACCAACAAGCUUGCUUGUUGGGGUUGUAGGACACUCUGUACGGAGUUACAAAGGAACAUGUUAGACGAAUAACCUGGAAAGGUUAAUCAGA